RNAcentral lists this ribosomal RNA (270 nucleotides) under uncultured bacterium. RNAcentral's name for it is "partial 16S ribosomal RNA". It matches the Rfam family "Bacterial small subunit ribosomal RNA", at positions 29 to 293 of the family's 1533-position model. The record is from RNAcentral.
AGCGAACGCUGGCGGCGUGCUUAACACAUGCAAGUCGAGUGCGCGCUCGUAGCAAUACGAGUGGCGCACGGCGCACGGGUGAGUAACACGUGGGCAACCUGCCCUUUGGAUGGGGGAUACCCCCGCGAAAGCGGGACUAAUACCGCAUGAUAUUCCAGAAACCUCGGUUUUUGGAUUCAAAGCCCGCAAGGGCGUCUAAGGAGGGGCCCGCGCCCGAUUAGCUAGUUGGUGAGGUAACGGCUCACCAAGGCUUUGAUCGGUAGCCGGUCU